This is a long non-coding RNA of Scomber japonicus (chub mackerel), 410 nucleotides long. RefSeq lists it as uncharacterized. The transcript has 4 exons. The record is from RefSeq and is a predicted model, not a curated record. NCBI's taxonomy places the organism in Eukaryota, Metazoa, Chordata, Actinopteri, Scombriformes, Scombridae.
CAAUAGUGACCACGUAAACCUCACUGGUCACUGGAGGAUAUAUUGCUACUUUCGUGUUGGAAUAACUUUACUGGCCCUUUUUUCUCUUUUUGGAUCGGUUUCGCUCCAUCUUCUUCUGCUGGAUGUUUAAAUGUAAAAGGAAGCCAACGAGAGACAGAACACUGAGGACAAUACAAAGUGAUCUGCAAAAUGCAUCAAUGGAGGAGACAAGAUAAAUAGAGGGAGAAGAUGAUCUGCAGGAUCCUUCUGCUCAUCAGCCUGACCUCCUGUGUCUCUGGAACAUUUGAAGUGAAAGUGACACAGAGCUCCUAUCAGGCAGAGGAGAACCACAACAUCACACUGGAAUGGACGUUUACAACCAAACCUGACAGUUCCUCCACCUCACUGAACAUCUACUGCCGACUGCUUAC